Long non-coding RNA from Rhinolophus ferrumequinum (greater horseshoe bat), 1110 nucleotides. RefSeq lists it as uncharacterized. The record is from RefSeq and is a predicted model, not a curated record. Lineage: Eukaryota; Metazoa; Chordata; Mammalia; Chiroptera; Rhinolophidae. The transcript has 3 exons.
CUCAACCCUGGCUGCACCCUGGAAUCACCCGGAGAGUUUUAAAACAUACUGUCCCACCCCCAGAGGUCCUGACGGUUUGACUCUGAUCAUUUUGGCCUUCAUUGUCCUCGAGGUUGACCUGUAGCGUGUCAAAGAACAACUUAUUCUGCCGCUUGUUAAAGACGUGUCUACCUCUGCCUCACGUGACUCAGAAGAAGGGAGCAUAUCUCCAUCUUCAAGGAUAGAGCCUGAUUUCGUAAUCCCAGUCCUUUCCAAUGAAUAUUUAGUAAAGGUCACGUGACUCCGUAUUGGCCAAUGAGAAGUGAGAAGUUUGCUGAACAUCUCCAGGAAAGUAAUCUUUGCUCCUCAGAAAGAGUCAGCCUGGAUAUGUCUGUGUCUGGAAGUGACACCUGGAACUGCUGCUCUGAUCUUGCUACUGACACAAUAAUAAAAUCCAUCGAGAUGGGGGAUGGAAAGAACCUGGGUCCUGGGAGACUUUGUUGAGGUUGAGUCUGCUGACUGCCCCUGAACGCUGAACUUCCAGUUAUGUGAAGGAGUGAUUAUCUCAAUGGCCUGGAGUUUUCCAUUACUUGCAGCCCGAAGCAUCCUGAAUGCUAUUUGUGGUAGACAGCUUUCAGAGGUACAAACCAUCACUCCGGCCACUCCUUCCAUCAACAGCUGGAUUUAUUUCCUCUUCUGCUUGAUCUGGGAUGGCCUGUGACUUGCUUUAACCAGUGAAAUGUGGUGGAAGUGACACUAUGCCAGUUCCAGGCCCAUCUUUUGGGAGGCUGCGUCAUGCAAUCAAAAAUCCUCAGGCUAGACCCCUGGAUGAUGAGAGGCCACGUGGAGCAGCCUGAGGGGCCAGAAUCGUGAGUGAAGGCUUCUGGAACCUUCCUGCCCAGGUGAGUGACUAGCCAAUGCCACAUGGAGCAGAAAAACUGCCCAAAUUCAGGACCCAUGGUAUCAUGAAAAAUCUUAAUUGUUGUGGAGUUAAGCCACUGUGUUUUGGGGUCAUGUGUCACCCAGCCUUAGGUAACCAAACAUUUACGACAUGUUUUUGGCAGCUAUGUUUAAGGAGGUUCCCUUUUAUUCCAGUUUUCUUAGGUCAUUUUUGAUCAUAAAUAGGAGUUG